GUGUUUCCGUGCUUGCAUGUGAAGGAGCAACGCAACAAGGGACGCAAAUCACGAGACGCGCAGUGCUGCAACAUACAGAGAAAAGGAAACUCACCCACCCGCUCGCCUGCUUACUCGCACAGGCACUCGACGGCGCUCCACCAUCGACGUUAGCUACACAAGGGCACCCACACCCACACACACGCGGACAUACAACAAGUAGGCAACAUGGGCAUCAUAUUAAACAUGAGCGUGCAUGGUCUCAUGAUCAUCCCGCUGGCCGCCAUGGUGAAGGGGCACAACAUCUCGCUGAGAAGACUGGCGAAACUGAGCAUUGUGAUGGCCGCGGUGCAGCUAGCGCAGUCCACCAUCACCAUGGCGGUGCCGCCUGACGUGGUGGUGGCGCAGGUUUGCGUGCAGGGCGCGCUGCUGCCGCUGGUGACGGUCGCGUUUUGUUUCUUCAUCUUGAACGACGCCAAGGCGGCUAAGGUAAUGCACCUGCACGACUGCGGGGACGGCGAUACAGGUGCGGCGGUGGCGACGAUGUGGUGCCUGUGCUACACCGUGCUCUUCCGCUGGUUCCCAUGGUACCACUCGAUGUCUAGUCGCGGCUUCGAGGCGGCCAAUUUGGCGUGUGGCGCCGAGGCAUACCUUACCCUUAUCACGAUGCUGGCCAUGUGCCGCAGCUUCACUACCGGGCAGUCUGUGGCCGCGACGGCUGCGUGGGGGCUGCACGCCAUCGGUGCCGUUGUUGGCGCCGCGUCAGGCAUGCCGAUGGCGGGUACGGUCUUGAUGACUGCCUUGAUGACGGCGGCGUCGGCCACCGUCUUCCGUGCCCCGGCGGAGGGGAGGGGGAACAAGGAAGAUUAGCGGGCAAGGCGCUCAGCCAACGAUGGCAGAUGGCUACAUCGUUGAUUGUCGUGUUGCUGGUGCGCGUGCGCUUCCUUAUGAUUAUCGGUUUCCGAAGGCGAGGUUGUGUGGCUGCUGUCCUCGCUUCCUCCCACCUCUUUUCGCUGUGGCUGUUCUGCCUGCCAAGCGAGACAAGCGCAUGCACUGAAGUGCACCCCGAAGCGGCGUCGCCCUCCACCAUCUUUUCCCCCUCGAACUGGAGACGUGUGCACCGGUGCCACACCCCACUCAG
This 1120-nucleotide unclassified non-coding RNA is filed under the name Leishmania donovani. RNAcentral describes it as "gene:LdHU3.06.0290(CDS-product:hypothetical_prote in_conserved)". Lineage: Eukaryota; Euglenozoa; Kinetoplastea; Trypanosomatida; Trypanosomatidae. The record is from RNAcentral.